Molecule: non-coding RNA, 119 nt
Organism: Picea glauca (white spruce)
Lineage: Eukaryota; Viridiplantae; Streptophyta; Pinopsida; Pinales; Pinaceae
Source: Rfam
AAUGUAAUACAUACAACGCUAAUGCAUAUAAUCCCUUUAAAACGCCAUAGUUAAUCGUGCUUGGGAUAGAGUAGUAUUGGGAUGGGUGACCUCCCAGGAAGUCUUAGUGUUUUAUAUGC